Molecule: non-coding RNA, 21 nt
Filed under: Caenorhabditis elegans
Lineage: Eukaryota; Metazoa; Nematoda; Chromadorea; Rhabditida; Rhabditidae
Source: RNAcentral
UGCUAACAGGAAUAUCAUUGG